AACAGACUUGUCACUAACAAAGCUCCAGCAUAAGUCUCAAUCAAUUGGUUAGAGAAAGCCUGACUUUAAACCCAACUGCUCACUGGAUACAUUCAUCUGCAUUAUCAUUUUUAGUUGAAUCUCCUAUAAUUCUAGGGCACAUGUGCAGAAUGAAGCUGCUGCUUGCGGUUGUGCCAUUAAUGGAUUUGAUUAUGAAUCAACUCCCACUUGAAAAGGAAACAUCUUCCUCCAAAAUUCACCCCACCUGUUAUGCUUUAUUAUCAUGUCUUCUUCUUUGCAUCAUAUGAUUUCAAUACAGAGUCUGCCUUUUUCAAUCACUAACCUCACAGGUCACCAGUUGCCUACAAAAUUUCAGUGGCUCUUACCCAACCAGAUUAAAGAAACUCAAAUUGAAUAAUGCUAUUGAACAAGUUAAAAUCUUUAUCCAGAAUUUGCAAUUCCAAACUUAUCAUAGUAAAGCUAAUCAAAGAUCACUGCAAAUUUGAAAAAUUGGGUUCCUUAGCAGCAAUCAGAAAUCAUUUAUUCAACUAAGUCUUUAAUAACAGAAACUUAUCCUUGAGGAUAAGGGCUAAGAGGCAUAUGCAUUAUCUUGCUAUGACAUGAAGAACAAUAAAAGCAACCUUAGAAACAAUAUUAAUUAAGCAAUUCUUGGCAGAGAGUAGCUUGGAGACAAGCCAGUAGUAGUUCUAUGAUAUGCUUUCUCAAAACGCUUCAAUGAAUUGGGAUUCACCUGCAAGAACAGAUAAUUCCCAGCAAAAAGAUCACCAAAGUUAGCCUGACUUUCUUUCCAUCUCUUCAGCAAUUUAGCAUAAGCAGCAUAAACAAGCUUAACUUUCCUGCUCAGGAACCUUCUCAAACUUGGAAUCCUAACCCUAAAUCUCUUUCUCUGAUGCACACUCUUAAACCUGUGCCAACUUCUAGAUGAUGGUCUUCCCACGAGUCUCUCUCCUUCGUCAUAGUCACCAAACAGAUCAUCAUGUUUCAGUCUGUGGUAGGGAAUGCUGGAGGCAGAGGCCAUCUCCAGGGCAGCAGAAAUGAUGAGUUUUUGAGGGAAGGAAAAUGAAGAUAAAUGUAUAGAUUAGUUUAUGAGAAGUAUAUAAGAUGGUUUGUCCUUUUCGACCCCACAGAAUGCUGUGGACUUGUUUUAUUGGUUUUCUCUAGCCUAUAUAUGAAUGAGAAUUGGAGUUUCAGAAACAGUUGAGUGCAUUGAAUGUUGU
Molecule: unclassified non-coding RNA, 1217 nt
Filed under: Hevea brasiliensis (rubber tree)
Lineage: Eukaryota; Viridiplantae; Streptophyta; Magnoliopsida; Malpighiales; Euphorbiaceae
Source: RNAcentral